Molecule: ribosomal RNA, 253 nt
Filed under: uncultured bacterium
Lineage: Bacteria
Description: partial 16S ribosomal RNA
Rfam family: Bacterial small subunit ribosomal RNA
Source: RNAcentral
UACGUAGGGUGCAAGCGUUAAUCGGAAUUACUGGGCGUAAAGCGUGCGCAGGCGGUUGUGCAAGACCGAUGUGAAAUCCCCGGGCUCAACCUGGGAAUGGCAUUGGUGACUGCACGGCUAGAGUGUGUCAGAGGGGGGUAGAAUUCCACGUGUAGCAGUGAAAUGCGUAGAGAUGUGGAGGAAUACCGAUGGCGAAGGCGGCUUUCUGGGACGGUACUGACGCUGAGACGCGAAAGCGUGGGGAGCGAACAGG